This 766-nucleotide ribosomal RNA is filed under the name Erysiphe myzodendri. Its description in RNAcentral is "partial 28S ribosomal RNA". It matches the Rfam family "Eukaryotic large subunit ribosomal RNA", at positions 1 to 779 of the family's 3401-position model. Lineage: Eukaryota; Fungi; Ascomycota; Leotiomycetes; Helotiales; Erysiphaceae. The record is from RNAcentral.
UUGACCUCGAAUCUGGUAUGAAUAUCCGCUGAACUUAAGCAUAUAUAUAAGCGGAGGANNNNNNNNNNNNNNNNNNNNNNNNAGUAACGGCGAGUGAAGCGGUAACAGCUCAAAUUUGAAAUCUGGCUCCUCUGGAGUCCGAGUUGUAAUUUGUAGAAGAUGCUUUGGGUUGUGGGUUCGGCCUAAGUUCCUUGGAACAGGACGUCAUAGAGGGUGAGAAUCCCGUAUGUGGCCGAGGCCCGCGCCUAUGUAAAGCUCUUUCAACGAGUCGAGUUGUUUGGGAAUGCAGCUCAAAAUGGGUGGUAAAUUUCAUCUAAAGCUAAAUAUGGGCCAGAGACCGAUAGCGCACAAGUAGAGUGAUCGAAAGAUGAAAAGCACUUUGGAAAGAGAGUUAAACAGUACGUGAAAUUGUUGAAAGGGAAGCGCUUGCACCCAGACUUGGGCGCUGCUGAUCACCUUGCGGUCUCCGCGAGUGCACUCGACAGCGCACAGGCCAGCAUCGGUUCGGGUGGCUGGAUAAAGGCCGUAGGAACGUAGCUCCCUUCGGGGAGUGUUAUAGCCUACGGUGCCAUGCAGCCCAGCCGGACCGAGGACCGCGCCUUCGGGCUAGGAUGCUGGCGUAAUGGGUGUAAGCGACCCGUCUUGAAACACGGACCAAGGAGUCUAACAUCUAUGCGAGUGUUUGGGUGGUAAACCCAUACGCGGAAUGAAAGUGAACGUAGGUGAGAACCCCUUUGGGGCGCAUCAUCGACCGAUCCUGAUGUCU